Molecule: ribosomal RNA, 275 nt
Filed under: uncultured bacterium
Lineage: Bacteria
Description: partial 16S ribosomal RNA
Rfam family: Bacterial small subunit ribosomal RNA
Source: RNAcentral
CUAAGUUUGAUGGCGACCGGCGCACGGGUGAGUAACACGUAUCCAACCUGCCGAUGACUCGGGGAUAGCCUUUCGAAAGAAAGAUUAAUACCCGAUGGCAUAGUUCUUCCGCAUGGUAGAACUAUUAAAGAAUUUCGGUCAUCGAUGGGGAUGCGUUCCAUUAGGUUGUUGGCGGGGUAACGGCCCACCAAGCCUUCGAUGGAUAGGGGUUCUGAGAGGAAGGUCCCCAACAUUGGAACUGAGACACGGUCCAAACUCCUACGGGAGGCAGCAUG